CGACUGCUAAUACCGCAUAAGCCCACGGUGCCGCAUGGCACAGAGGGAAAAGGAGCAAUCCGCUUUGAGAUGGCCUCGCGUCCGAUUAGCUAGUUGGUGAGGUAACGGCCCACCAAGGCAACGAUCGGUAGCCGGACUGAGAGGUUGAACGGCCACAUUGGGACUGAGACACGGCCCAGACUCCUACGGGAGGCAGCAUG
RNAcentral lists this ribosomal RNA (200 nucleotides) under uncultured bacterium. RNAcentral describes it as "partial 16S ribosomal RNA". It matches the Rfam family "Bacterial small subunit ribosomal RNA", at positions 157 to 353 of the family's 1533-position model. The record is from RNAcentral.